Molecule: long non-coding RNA, 4096 nt
Organism: Frieseomelitta varia
Lineage: Eukaryota; Metazoa; Arthropoda; Insecta; Hymenoptera; Apidae
Exons: 3
Source: RefSeq, a predicted model, not a curated record
UAUAAUUGAACACAAGUUUUUUAAAGCAAGAAGAAAGUGAGUACACUCUGUACGCAUAUGUAUACGUGUAUGUGUGCCACGUGUACACAAAUAUGCAUGGAACUGAAACAAUGAUGACUGGCAACACUAUCUAUCGUAAAAUUACUGAAAUGUCAAACGGGGAGGAUAAAUAAAUACCACCAUUGAUUGAAUAUAGCAAGAACUUUAUAAAAGACGAGGCAGACUCACAGAUGGUUUAAGUACAUUAGUAUAUGUCUCAAAACUCUGAGAAAUAUAUGACGGUUUUGCAUUCGCAUUUUUUUUUAAUUCUUUUUUUUCUGUUUUUUUUUUUUUUGUAUCUUUUUUCUCUCAAAUAGAUCACACGCAUGAAAAAGGUUGUUGCGCAAAAGGUUGUUGUGUUUACAUCGUGCAUAAAAAGUACGAACAUACAUCAAUCGAAAAAGAGUCGUAAGGGUAAAAGCUGAAAAAGGAAACGCUCGAUUAGAUCGUUUGACAAACUCUCUCGAGUCGUCGUGUUACGGAUUAUCGCCGAAAAUUAACAUACGCAUGAGAUAGAUGACGAUACUUGGUGGAAGGACAGCGUAACGUAACACGAAAGAGAGAGAGAGAGUUCCGUCAUUAAGAAAAAACGUGAUUUGUACAUGCCCCGAUCGGAGCAGCAUCGAGAAAAAUAUACAUCGUGAGAAAUUAUUCCGAGCAAUGAAAAUUCGCUUCGCAGGCGAUUGUGGUUUGUGAGCUAACAAGUGAGGCGGUGCUUACCGCGAAAAUACACUAGAGAAAAUUGAUAUUGUUUUAUGGUGUCAUCGUCCGUCAGCGCGCCACGAUGUUCUCACGUGGAACUCUAAUAAAAACAAGUUCUCCGAAACAAAUUCAACGGUGUGUGAUAGGAUCGGCUUUCUGAUGUUUCGACCGGGAAUCUUAAUCGAUAUCGUUCGUCAUCAUCAUCAUCAUCGUUCGCCAAGUCGGGUUACGGAGCGUCGUUUCAUUCAUUUGGAGGGAAAGAUAGCGAUGUUCAACGUAAACUAUAAUGACAGAGCAAGCAAAAAUGAACGCGGAAUGCAAAAUUAUCGUAGUGAAUUACCACGGAGAAGCUGAGCAACUGAAAUGAGCAAGAAUCGAUGUAAAGAAGAGAGCACGAUGAUGUAGCUGCGAGUAAAUAAUCAACAAAUCCCUAUAGGUUUUCGUGAAUUUUCCAGAGUUUUCUCGGGCGGUCGAUGCAUGCAUAUAUAUUUCUAUGUACAUACAUAUGUGCUGGCCGUUACAUCUUUCAUAUUUCAUAUCUGGCUUUUAAGGAAAACCGAUAGCCUGGAGCCAGACACCGAUAUUAACGUCCCUCGGCAUGCCGUGACCCGUCGGCAUCGUUGAAAAGAGUUACAGACGCGGAAUAUCGAUGGACAAAAAUUAAUUAUGCGACGUUGGAGUGGAAAGAGCAAUAUCGGCUAGGAUUCGGAGAGCGAGCGGCUAAGAGGCCGAUGUUCGAUAUUUACAUAGCCGGAACAAAAAGCUCAUGAAUCACCAUCGUUUCAUCCGUUCUGGUCGCUUAAGAAGGCACGGUCGAUCUUUCGAACGAUUGUCGGACACGCAAUGAUGUCGGGGCGCUUGGCGCGUCACGCAUCGAUUUCCAUAAAGAAAAUGAGUUCAAUUGACCCACGCUGACGCAAGGGACCAGAGAUCGCGAAACGACCUUCUCCUAAUCAAAGGAACAGAUGCAGACAAGAGACAAAAAGAAAUGUACAUGCAAGAUGGCUAGGAGAUACGAAGAAGAUAAGAGAUGAUGUUAAUCAAGUGCAACGCUGAAGAGACAAAGAGAAACGAAGCUCCCUGACCCGACUGACAUCGUCGAUGAUAAAUUCCGAGAAGUGUCUAUUACAUAGAUAUAUAUGUACUUAUCGAAGCGUAUAGUUACGUGUAUGUAAUUCCGCUUGGUGUUGUGCGUUUCUCUGGCCCGCACCCGGCCCUCGCGAGAAUGAGUUUUAAUUGACUGAAGUGCCGAGCCGAAUCGCGGGCACGAGGACUUGGAAGCGUGUUUGGUUGCUCGCUAAUGUCGACGACACGUGGGAGAUUAAGAUCGUGCUAUUUUCAAUGUACGUGUUCAAAAUUCCACCAAAUCACUAGAUCCAUGUGUAUUGUGUAUCGCAUGACGGGACGUUGCGUCAUUAUAUCACCGGCAUAAUGUAAUUUUCCAGAUAGCACAACAAACAGGAAAAAGUUGCUCUAAAGUUGUUUAAAAUCGUUGUCGAAAAUUGAUUUGCAAUUGCAGUUGUAACCGAAAUGCCUGUUACUUUAGAUAUCCGAAACAUCUAGAUAUGCAUCUGCUAUGCGCUCCUGAAUAUUGGAUAGAACAUUCGACGGAACAUUCCAGGUAUUCGAGUAUCUGGCUUUCUUCACCAUGGCCAAAGCUGUAGCUCGUUAGACCAUUAGACUGUCGUUUAGCCUGGCCGUCGUACUUACAUCGUGCGCAUUGUUUUGUUACAGAGAGACAUUGACAAAUCGAGCCAGGUGUCGCGCGACAUUCAUCGAGCGUGAUAGCAUCAAUUAGUGUUAGAACGCGCCAAAGCGGAAAUCGCGGGUUUAUCGUGCUGACAGACGCGUGAAUUUCAUUCGUUCGAUCGGAUUAGAUGCGAUUGUCAGAGCUGCUGUCACGCCUGUCGCAAGCGUUUUCGAUAGAAAAUUGAAAAUCGUGAGACAGGAGAGUUUAGACUGGCGAGGAGGGACACACGAGAGAGAGAUUUCCUAUAAACGGUUCCGUUUCUUUAACGUUCCCUGCGGACGCAGAGGACGCUUACGAUCGAUAAAAUCUGACAAAUUACACAACAAUACAACAUGACAUUAGAUUACAAUCGGUCUCUUGUCGCCGAUAAAAAGCUCCUCGAACUUGGUCUGGUCGUCGACAUUUUCUGAAUUUUCGCCGACGUUUCGCCGCGAUCGUUCUCUUCGAUUGACAUCGAUCGGAGCCAAGCUCGAGGAUCGUUGUGGCCACUGGGCGAGAGAUGUGACGAAACUUCGGAGACGCAUCUACUUACGUCCGGUGGUCCUGUACAAACUGACUGUACGUCAGAUAAGAAAAUUUUGACUCGGAGUAACUGACGUGGGAAGCGCGUGCGCUGCAUUUCUUCUCUAUUACGUUUACGGGAACGUGUUUACACGUAAAUAUAUUGUGUUUAUAUCCGACCGUUCAUCUCUCCACAGGCGUUCGUUCAAUCAUCGAGGAGACCGCACGAUCGUCUCUUUCGUUCAUCGUUUCGUUGUUUUUUUCUACUUCCACGUCCCUUCUCAAAGACGUGCGACAGAGACUCAACAAACUCUUCCUUUUCUUUCUUUCUUCCAACCAGCUCCUCGAACGUACUUUACAGACGUCUUUGUCGUCGCGCGAAAAUUAAAAAGAAGCACGGACGAAAACGUAAUCUCGGCCGGCUAUAUGAAUUUAAGUGGGCGCCAUAUUAAAAUGGAAAUAGGAUUUCGCGGGGAUCUCGGCACGGCCGUUCUCGUCGUGGAAAAUCGAGUAAAUUUCUCGCUGACUCGCCCGAAGGGAGGGAUCCUCCGCAGCAGUCGUGACUCACAGAGAUAAAAAUGAGGUAAUUACUGAAACGAGUUAUUUAUUGUUCUUAUCGUCAGUCGUAUCGAGCGGACUUUUCCUGACCUUGGUUCGACCACCAAAGACAGAUUAGAACGUCAUUAGCGAAGUGCUGCGCGAAUAUAAAUUUUUACCGCGAUUAUCGCUGGCCUUCGAGUGGAAAUCACGCUGAAAGUUAGAGCAGAUAGCAGCGGGUAGAUUAUCGGGAAUUUCGGUAUACGAUAAUUUAAACACGCGGCAUUGCGAAAUAAAGUGUACAGCCGAGGGAGAAAACGAAACGUUCAGAAAACGAAACGAUGAGCUUCGAUCGUACGAUCCGCCUUCGAAAGCCGUUCUUUCUCGCUUCGCGCGUCAUACGUAGGCACAACGUAUCUCUUGUUUUCACUUUCUGUUUAACACGAAUGUCGCGUAUGUACAAAGUAUACCUACAGAAAAUCCGCUACAUCUCAGACGAUGGAUACAACUUUCAUGUUUCCUCUUUUUUUCUCUCUCGAUCGGCGCGCGCGACCUUCGAUUAAAAGC